ACUAGGACCAGGCUCAGUCUGUGUACUAGGACCAGGCUCUGAGUCUGUGUACUAGGACCAGGCUCUGAGUCUGUGUACUAGGACCAGGCUCUGAGUCUGUGUACUAGGACCAGGCUGAGUCUGUGUACUAGGACCAGGCUCAGUCUGUGUACUAGGACCAGGCUCAGUCUGUGUACUAGGACCAGGCUCAGACCAGGCUCAGUCUGUGUACUAGGACCAGGCUCUGAGUCAGUCUGUGUACUAGGACGAGAAGGCCACGGUACAGCCGUUGU
Sander lucioperca (pikeperch) is the source of this 272-nucleotide long non-coding RNA. RefSeq lists it as uncharacterized. The transcript has 2 exons. The record is from RefSeq and is a predicted model, not a curated record. NCBI's taxonomy places the organism in Eukaryota, Metazoa, Chordata, Actinopteri, Perciformes, Percidae.